UCCUGAUCCUGGAAUGUGAUAGUCCCUAGGAGGAGCCUUUACACCAUCUUGAACGGACAACACAAAUGCUAUGGCGAGAUAGAGUAUCAUGAAUAGUGUUGAAAACCCGAGCCAAACUCUCAGUGCUGAUAAAUGAGGUGUUGCAAUGGCAAAGAGGAUGCAAGCAACUCCAGCUAUAGCUAUAAAGUGUGGCAGCUUUAACAUAUGGUCAUCCCUAAAGAGCAUAUAGAAAGCCUUUAGGGCUGAACCACUCAUGAUGACAUAUCCAAUAUUUAUCAAGAAGAGAUUUGCAUAUUGUAGUGCCCAUAUAAGCAAAUAAGCUGUCCG
This 327-nucleotide unclassified non-coding RNA is filed under the name Hevea brasiliensis (rubber tree). Lineage: Eukaryota; Viridiplantae; Streptophyta; Magnoliopsida; Malpighiales; Euphorbiaceae. The record is from RNAcentral.